CGCCGACGUCAGAGUACGUAUUUGCAUGCCAUACCGGAGCGCCGGUGUCUGUCCAUAGCGGGUCCAUGGUGUUACAGCCCGGAAAAGUUGAGGGACAGACCCGGGGAAAGUGGCACAACUCCCCGCGCAGGCCUCCGGCCAUUCUCCCCGGCCUGCCCUCCUUCAUACGUGGACGCUCCUCGAAGGUAACUUGGCUCAGCAGAGACGUUCAAGUUUCCAGCCCUGAAGUCACAGAGGCCAGCAGUUCACAAGCAACAGUGACCUCCGCUGGCCCCAACCUAGAACAACUGAUUCUGACCUUGGACCAUGUGCUCAUGAUGUUUUCUAGGGGCCGACUAAUAUGGGAUUUUUCAGACCGAUACAGUACAGAUUUUAGAGGGAAAAAAUUCACCGAUUAUUGACAUGGCAACCAAUCUAAUGAUUCGGAAUUAAAAUAGACAUUUUUUUUUUGUGGAUUGUGCACCAAUUUUGCACUGAUAUGACAGGUGCACAGGUGGUCAGAAGGCUACUUUUGUACACAAAUAACUUUCUUCAAGAAUAUUCAGGGUUAUACAUUGUCAACCAAUUCUAGAAAUGAACGCUGAGAAAAUAAUGAUAAAUAAAUAGCUAAGUAAACAUCA
Molecule: long non-coding RNA, 620 nt
Organism: Myripristis murdjan (pinecone soldierfish)
Lineage: Eukaryota; Metazoa; Chordata; Actinopteri; Holocentriformes; Holocentridae
Exons: 2
Source: RefSeq, a predicted model, not a curated record